GCCCCCCUGGUUGUUGCAUUUUAAACUCGGGGGAUGUAACUCAGGUAUUGACAUCAAUGAUUUGAGGGCCUCCGUCAGCCAAAGACGGGUUGUGACUGCCCCGUCAUGCCCAACAGCAGAAAAACAUGUUAAUAGUUGCUCCACUCACACAACUCAACAGCGUGCAUUAUCGGGAACAGAGAAAAACUAUUGAACGAGGAUAUUUUUAAAGUUCAAGUGAGAAGUCCAAGUCAGCAAGGCCCGAAAAUGCCGCAAACGGCAC
RNAcentral lists this small RNA (262 nucleotides) under Histoplasma ohiense. RNAcentral's name for it is "hypothetical lncRNA". Lineage: Eukaryota; Fungi; Ascomycota; Eurotiomycetes; Onygenales; Ajellomycetaceae. The record is from RNAcentral.